RNAcentral lists this long non-coding RNA (689 nucleotides) under Lathyrus oleraceus (garden pea). Its description in RNAcentral is "Pisum sativum (pea) long non-coding RNA (PSAT_LNC021873)". Lineage: Eukaryota; Viridiplantae; Streptophyta; Magnoliopsida; Fabales; Fabaceae. The record is from RNAcentral.
AAUUAGUUAAUGCUUAAUGCCUUAUUUCAUUUCAUUAUUAAUAUCUUAGAGUACAAAUCCAUAAUAUCAAGAAUGUAAAAUUAAAAAAAGAAAAACGUUAAAAAAACAUUAAAAAAUAUAGUUAUUGGGUGGCAACAUGAAACAUAAAUGAAAAUCAUAUAAUAUUAAAUAUUAUAGCAUUAUUUUUUCUUGCAUGGUUCUUUUGGGUGUGCUAUUCUUCAAGAGAUGGAUCCACUUUAAUAGCUUCACAUAAAUUUUUAAUACACUUAUAAACUAAAGGAUACAAGUGACGAAUUGCUGGGCAAUCAGCAUCAGUUACACAUUUAAUUCGUAUUUCUGUAAAAGUAAAAUAAAAUAAUACUAUUAAAAUAAGAUAAAAUAUUAUAUAUUAUCUAAAUUAAAGAAAUAAAUAUAUAAAAAAGAAAAUGGUUUACCUUCCGUCUCCUUUGAAAGAAGGAUUAGGGAAAAAAAUAAAAUUAUAGCAGAAAGAAACUUAAGAGUUUUAGUCAUAUUUUUCUCUUUUUGCAUGUAAUAAAAAGGCUACAAUUUGAUCACUUUAUAGUGUGUGAAGCUCAUGCAAUUAUGAAAAUAUUUAAAUAUCUUUAGAGUUUAUGUAAUUCAAUGUUUUGUAUUUGUCCCUUUGACAAACUUAAAUGUAUUUUGUUAGGAAAAAUUUUAAUUGUUAAAAC